AAAGAUUUAUCGGUGAUGGAUGGGGAUGCGUCUGAUUAGCUUGUUGGCGGGGUAACGGCCCACCAAGGCAACGAUCAGUAGGGGUUCUGAGAGGAAGGUCCCCCACAUUGGAACUGAGACACGGUCCAAACUCCUACGGGAGGCAGCAGUGAGGAAUAUUGGUCAAUGGACGAGAGUCUGAACCAGCCAAGUAGCGUGCAGGAUGACGGCCCUAUGGGUUGUAAACUGCUUUUAUAAGGGAAUAAAGUGAGUCUCGUGAGACUUUUUGCAUGUACCUUAUGAAUAAGGACCGGCUAAUUCCGUGCCAGCAGCCGCGGUAAUACGGAAGGUCCGGGCGUUAUCCGGAUUUAUUGGGUUUAAAGGGAGCGUAGGCCGGAGAUUAAGCGUGUUGUGAAAUGUAGACGCUCAACGUCUGCACUGCAGCGCGAACUGGUUUCCUUGAGUACGCACAAAGUGGGCGGAAUUCGUGGUGUAGCGGUGAAAUGCUUAGAUAUCACGAAGAACUCCGAUUGCGAAGGCAGCUCACUGGAGCGCAACUGACGCUGAAGCUCGAAAGUGCGGGUAUCGAACAGGAUUAGAUACCCUGGUAGUCCGCACGGUAAACGAUGGAUGCCCGCUGUUGGUCUGAAUAGGUCAGCGGCCAAGCGAAAGCAUUAAGCAUCCCACCUGGGGAGUACGCCGGCAACGG
RNAcentral lists this ribosomal RNA (688 nucleotides) under uncultured bacterium. RNAcentral's name for it is "bacterial SSU rRNA". It matches the Rfam family "Bacterial small subunit ribosomal RNA", at positions 202 to 894 of the family's 1533-position model. The record is from RNAcentral.